This 2033-nucleotide unclassified non-coding RNA is filed under the name Haliotis rubra (blacklip abalone). RNAcentral's name for it is "transmembrane protein 248-like, transcript variant X3". The record is from RNAcentral. Lineage: Eukaryota; Metazoa; Mollusca; Gastropoda; Lepetellida; Haliotidae.
AAACCGUAUGUUGACGAUAUGUGUCAAAAUGGCGUCUGUCACCUGUCGGAGUUCUUAGCUAUGUGAACCGUGUAAAGUAUUUGACGUUGUCCUUUGAUUAUUCGUGGAUGAUGAGUGCACACCCAAAUACUUAGAAAUAUAAACCAAGCAUUAAAGUAGUCUAGUGAAUCCUAUCAGGUCGUAAUGGCGUACUCAGUGUGUGAAAACCUCCGUGGAUUUGCCUACAGUCGUCCUCCACUGGUCAUCUUCAUGAUAUGUCUAGCUACGUUCGCCAUCGCCCUUGUCACAUUUGCCUAUGUUGUCAAAAUGAGAGACAUGCCCAAUCCAGAUAUUCCAGAGGAUUGGAAUACCUUCCUGGAGAGUUUUGCUGAUGUGGAUUUUUGUGUGUUGAGCAACUCCAGUGAUUAUGCAUCAGACGCUACCACAGCUGGCACCACAAGACACAACCGUAACACGAUGGAUGGCCAGCAUGAAGUCACAACGACUGCUACGUUACCACCAGAUGGUGUUGUCAACGUAUCACUGUCGAUGAUGGUGGAGAUGCAGCCUACCCAGGACUUUGUCAACAUCCCCCACAAUGUGACAUACCUGUCCACAACACUGAUGGGGGACCAGCUCGGUCUGUAUGGUGAAGCAGCCGACCUUGAGAUGAAUGUGACCUUCGUGUUGCCGUUCCAGUGGAACACGUCACGGUGCAACCGGCGAGGGAUCUGUGAGCCGGUCAACAUCUACACCUGCAUCAGCUUCCAGGCACCAGUGUCAUUCUUCCCCCACACAAAGAAGCCUGACAUGUGCCAUGGCAACUCGGAGUCUGGGAUUGAGUACCAUGUGAAGAUGGUUGGUCUGAAGGGAACUCGCAGGCACCCCAAGGUGUUGUGGUGCAACAGUCAGCCAGUGCUGCAUGUCCGCUACAAGCUGGACCCCAGCCUCACCGUAAUGUUGUCAUUGCAUGACCGAUCUGUCAUCAACCUCCACUUGAUGCACACAAGUUACUUCCUGUUUGUGAUGGUUAUCACACUGUUCUGCUACGCCAUCAUCAAAGGGAGGCCACCCAAGACCAAGAUCGUUCAACAGAUUCAUGUUGAAAAGAUUCCAAACAAAGCAUAGGUGGCAUCUUGUGGAAGAGGAAGUAGUUAAUGAAGAGAGUAGGGUGUUCACAUCAAUCAGGAAGAAGAGUGGUUUCAAAUUAUCCUGCAACAAGUUCUUUUAACAUGCGGACCAGGUGUGAACAUAGUGGAGAGGUCUACAUUCAAAAACAAAACCUACACACGGGAGCUUAAUCUUGGCUUGAUUCCAUUUGAUAAAAUCUAUUCCAUAAUCCUUGCAUAUGCAAGGUUGCUAUGACCACAACCUAAAUGACUUCUUGGUUUCACAUUUGUAGAAAGUGAGAGAAAAGUGAAAGAAGAUGGAUGGUAUAGAUUUCUUCUCUCUCUCAAAAGUACCUCAACAUAUGUUGGAAUACAACCCUGCAAAGCUUUCAUCUUGAUUACUUCAGUUGUAAUUAUAGAAUUAUUUGUGUUUCAAAAACACGAAGCAGUCUUGAUGAGCAAAGACAGAAACAUUUCCAUCACUUCUGUGUCAGAUUUGGAUCAAAACAAGAAGUGGUGAAGGAGGAGUUGUUCCGGAUGUCGACUGGAUGCUUCACAAGAUAUGGGGGCUGUUUAAAUUCAGUGUUUGAUAUUUAGUUAAACAUGUUUAUACAUCCUUUGUUGUUAGUAUGUCUUGGGAUUGCAGUGAGGGCACCUACUUUGAGUCAAUUGGUCCAUCUUGCAAGGGCACCUGUUUUGAGGCCAUUGAUGCAGGUUUUUGGGGUACAUGUCAUUGGUUCUUCUUGCAAACUUAUGAAAAACCAAGAGAAGCUGACAAGAUUUUCUUUGCAAUACAUAUGAAAAAUCAGAAACUUUAAAUUUGUUUGUACCAUACAGCGAAUGUUUCUGAUUGGAUUUUUGUUUUUGUUUCUUUUGUACAGAAUAUUUUGCUUUUUGAAGUCCUUUGCUUAAAAAACAGCCGGCAUGGUACCAACUAUAGAAAAC